Long non-coding RNA from Cloeon dipterum, 541 nucleotides. RefSeq lists it as uncharacterized. The record is from RefSeq and is a predicted model, not a curated record. The transcript has 4 exons. NCBI's taxonomy places the organism in Eukaryota, Metazoa, Arthropoda, Insecta, Ephemeroptera, Baetidae.
CUUUAUUUGGUGCGGAGGCUGCUGCUGCCGCGAUGUCAGACAACUUGGAUAAGUGGAAAAUAUUUCAGGAGCUGAGCGACGACCUGAAGCGGAAUAUCAGGCUUGCAGUCGCAUUUAAUGAUAGCGCAAUUUACGUGACGAAAGAUGAUGACGUUUUCGGCUUUGGCAAAAACGAAGAAGGAUUUCUUGGCACUGGCGACAGGGAACCACGCACAGAGCACACGAAAAUUGAACAAUUGUGCGGACAAAAUAUCGAAGGGUUGCAAUUCGCACACUAUACGUUUUUCGCGAUUUCUGCUUCCGGCUCAGUUUUUGCCUGGGGAUUCAAUAAUCAUGGCCAGCUUGGACUGGGUACGAAACAAGAAACCUUGAUCCCAACCAAAAUUGAAGGAAUUCUGGCAACAAAGAGAGUUGUGCAAAUUGCCUGCAGCACUUACCAUACUCUGGCAUUAACUUCAGAUAGAGAGGUCUUUUCCUUUGGUCGUAACGAUAGCGGGCAGUUGGGACUGGGACACAAAAAAAGCCAAAACCUUCCAAUCGA